RNAcentral lists this unclassified non-coding RNA (520 nucleotides) under uncultured Bartonella sp. RNAcentral's name for it is "partial 16S-23S ribosomal RNA intergenic spacer". The stretch from base 80 to 153 matches the Rfam family "tRNA". Lineage: Bacteria; Pseudomonadati; Pseudomonadota; Alphaproteobacteria; Hyphomicrobiales; Bartonellaceae. The record is from RNAcentral.
UUGCAGCCUCUGAGGGGGGAGGAAGAGAGUGUUUCUUUGAUUAGAUUAUGCGAUUGAAAGUUUUCUGGUUUUCCUCGUAGGGCUUGUAGCUCAGUCGGUUAGAGCGCGCGCUUGAUAAGCGUGAGGUCGGAGGUUCAAGUCCUCCCAGGCCCACCAGUUACACUAUGCAGCAAAUUGCUCUGAUCACUGAAAGUUGCUCUGAGUGAGAAUGUUAAAAUCUAGUGAAAUGUUCCCAAUUCUUUAUUGAAUAAUCCCUUAAAGAAAAUUUAUGCUUAAAUAAAUUCUUCUAAGAGCAUUCAGAGCCUCCAUAGGAACUCAAAGCCUUCCAUAGAAACGAAGUUUUCGCGAGAAUUUUUUCACUCCUCUUCAGUAAGGGGAAAACAGGAAAAUAACGAGGGAAAUAAAAGGCCAAUAUUGUAUUUCUUAAUCAAUUCAAUUAAUCAAUAUUGUCUCUCUCUUUGUAAAAAGCUUAAUGGUAAAAGUUUAAAAGAGCUUCUGUUUUAAAAGUAUGACGUUUUUA